GCCAGGACGGGGACUUUCUGAAUUAGGACUGGAGGAUAGGCCUCAGCCUGGAGACGGCUGAAUUUCCUGAACCCAGCAUCAGAGCCAACACCGACAAGCUGGCCGCUGGAGUGCAGUAGGUAUUCUGGAAUUGGCGAUGCUGGAUGUACAAACCUUACAAAUAUACUAAAAAUCACUUGCACACUUGAAAAGGGUAAGAUCUAUGAUAUUUAUAGCUCAAAAAGAAUUACAAUGGCAUAAUAUUCUGUGGUGGAAUGAGAAGGCCAUGCCAAGAUGGCCGCAGGCAAUGGAAACUGCCUGGCAACAGGCUGUGAUUGGAUGGCUUCAGGAAUGACAUGGCAACAGAGCCUGCCUGGCAACGAGCUAUGAUUGGAUGGCUUUGAAAACUGCCUGGCAACAGGCUGUGAUUGGUUAGAGCAUAGACCGCCCCUUGACCAGAUUGGCUGCCUUGGCUCUAUAAGCUGCUGUACCAACUAAAAUAAAUGAGUUUUCGGGCUUCUCGCCUCUGGCCUGCUCUCACCCACACCUGGGGUCUGUGUGGUGACUCCACGCCUCUUGCCCCCACCAUGCUCCUCCUCUCAGAAUGGAUCCACAGCAACAUCUGGUGCCCAAGGAAUUGUUAUAAAAACAUGCUAGUGGUGGGCUUCUUUUUAUAGUGCUUGGGGUUUAUAAAUUUCUUUUUACAAAAUUACAUGUCAGUAACUUCUCUUUGUCUAAUUGGGAAGAAAUAUGAAUUUGCAUUCCUAUAACACAAAGAAAUCUAUGGGAAGCAAUAUGUUACUGCCCACCACUACCACCAAAACCAAAAACUGCCAGUUUUAUAUAGUUUUGAAAUUCUUCCCAAAGCCACUUUGUGUCCUCACUGACUCUAUCCAGCCAUCCUAAUGCUUCCCCUGAAUUCUAACCAACCACUUGUGCUUGGGGCAAUCAAAGAUGAAAAUGUCUCUACUUUGGCUUUACUUUUGUAAAAAUUUAUUUUCAUGCCCUAUGAAAGGCAGACAGAGAUGUCCCAUCCAUUGGUUCACUCCCUAAAUGCCCACGACAGGCAUGCUGGGCCAGACUGAAGCCAGGAGUCCAGAACUCAAUGCAGGCCUCCCACAAGGUUGGCAUUAACAGGAAGCUGGAAUCAAAAGUGGAGCCAGGCUGUGGAGUAGUGGAUAAAUCUGCCGCCUGCAGUGCUGGCAUUCUGUAUGGGCUCCGGUUCGAGACCCGGCUGCUCCACUUGUGAUCCAGCUCUCUGCUAUGGCCUGGGAAAGCAGUAGAAGAUGCUCCAAGUCCUUGGGUCCCUGUAUCCACGUGGGAGACCCAGAAGAAGCUCCUGGAUCCAGGAUCCUGGCUUCAGAUCGGCCCAGCUCUGGCCGUUGUAGCCAUCUGGGAGUGAACCAGCAGAUGGAAGACAUCUUUCUCUCUCUCGCUCGCUCUCUCUGCCUCUGAUUCUCUCUAAUGCUCAAAUAAAUACAUUUUUGAAAAAAUCUUAAAAAACAAAAGUAGAGCCAGGCCAUGAACCCAGGCACUCAGAUAUGGGACUCAGACCCUAGUGGCAACUUAACCACCAUACUAAGUGCCUAUCCCCAGAAUUUCCAUUUAGGCUGUGGUGUUGGCCAAAUUCACACUGUUGAAAUGGUGGGUCCCUAAGGAAAGACUGUCCAUUUUUAUUUUCUUUUUGUUAGAGAGGUGGGAGUGGGGGCAGAAGUUGGAGGAGAACUCAUCCGGCUCUCCCGUGUGGGUGGCACUUGAACCAUCCUGAACCGUCCCUGCUGCCUCCCAGGAGCCACGUCAGCAGGAAGGUGGAGUCAGGAAUGAAACCCACUCGCUCUAAUACGGGACAUGGGUGUGUCUUAGCCACGGGCUUCUCAUCUGCCUGAGCGCCAGUUCCGAGAGGGCUAAGCAAGAGCACCAGGUUAGGGGUAAAGACGAGGAAGAACUGGCCUGGGGAAUGGGGUGGAGUCCUUAAGCACAAACUGGGGCGAAACUUCAGCAGGGAGAUCGCAUCUGGGACAGAUGGGAGGACAGAGGUGCAGGCCACCCACCUGCAGCUGAGCUCCAGGGAGAGGGGACAGCCUUUGGUCAGAGAAGCCCCUUCUCAGCGGGGAGGGCGCCAGAGAGGCACACCUGGGGCUCGGCGGUGUGCCCCCGCUGAGCCUUCCCUUCAGAACUCCUGUUUGGACAGACAUUCUCAUGAGCUAACCCCGAAAAGAGUUGGCACAAACCAGCGUCUCCUCUCCUUGCGACGUACGGAAGAGCCCAGGAUUCUCAACACCUGUCUCCCUCGUGCUCCCACUCUUAGCAGCAGGUAGCCAGAGCUGAGAGUCACACCACCCUCCAAGAGUGGGUCCCGCCUGCACACACCCACAUGCACACCAGCUUUAGCCAUGUCCUUUUAUUGAGCCAUUUGUAUGGGAAUGGUGAUCAGGGAGUUGUCACACCCCACCACGGGGCCCUGCCACGGAGGAGGCGGGCUCAGCAGUCACUGGGGCAGUUUCUGGGAUGGUGUCCCAGUGCAGGCCAAUGGCGCUGACGAAUAAGCCAGCUCGGCCACUGAUGAAUCGGAGCACGGCGUCGAUGUCCAAGGGGACAGCGUUGAAGCUCACGCCUGUGCCUUUCCCAAAGGACAGGAUGCGACCGUAGUUGGUGAAAAAGUCCAGGGUCUUCAGAUAGUUACCGUAUGACCCAAAAACCUCGAUCACUGACUCCCCUGGGUGCAGAAAGAUCUCCUCCAGGUCUCCCAGCUUGCCACCCACGUAGUCGCUCCACACCUGGCCAUAGCGCACCUGGAGAC
Non-coding RNA from Oryctolagus cuniculus (rabbit), 2779 nucleotides. Lineage: Eukaryota; Metazoa; Chordata; Mammalia; Lagomorpha; Leporidae. The record is from RefSeq and is a predicted model, not a curated record.